RNAcentral lists this ribosomal RNA (468 nucleotides) under uncultured bacterium. Its description in RNAcentral is "partial 16S ribosomal RNA". It matches the Rfam family "Bacterial small subunit ribosomal RNA", at positions 28 to 507 of the family's 1533-position model. The record is from RNAcentral.
GACGAACGCUGGCGGCGUGCUUAACACAUGCAAGUCGAACGGAAAGGCCCUGCUUUUGUGGGGUGCUCGAGUGGCGAACGGGUGAGUAACACGUGAGUAACCUGCCCUUGACUUUGGGAUAACUUCAGGAAACUGGGGCUAAUACCGGAUAGGAGCUCCUGCUGCAUGGUGGGGGUUGGAAAGUUUCGGCGGUUGGGGAUGGACUCGCGGCUUAUCAGCUUGUUGGUGGGGUAGUGGCUUACCAAGGCUUUGACGGGUGGCCGGCCUGGGAGGGUGACCGGCCACAUUGGGACUGGGGUACGGCCCAGACUCCUACGGGAGGCAGCGGUGGGGAAUAUUGCACAAUGGGCCGAAGCCUGAGGCAACAACGCCGCGUGCGGGAAGAAGGCCUUCGGGUUGGAAACCGCUUUCGGCUUUGACGAAGCGUGAGUGACGGUAAUGGGUAAAUAAGCACCGGCUAACUACGUG